This 494-nucleotide ribosomal RNA is filed under the name uncultured bacterium. RNAcentral's name for it is "partial 16S ribosomal RNA". It matches the Rfam family "Bacterial small subunit ribosomal RNA", at positions 28 to 507 of the family's 1533-position model. The record is from RNAcentral.
GACGAACGCUGGCGGCGUGCUUAACACAUGCCAGUCGAACGGAAAGGCCUGCUUUCCCUUGUGGAUUGCGGGUACUCGAGUGGCGAACGGGUGAGUAACACGUGAGUGAUCUGCCCCCAACUUGGGUAUAAGCCUGGGAAACUGGGUCUAAUUCCCGAUAGGACUGCAGGGUGGUGCCUGUGGUGGAAAACGAUUUUCUAGUGGUUGGGGAUGAGCUCGCGGCCUAUCAGCUUGUUGGUGGGGUAAUGGCCUACCAAGGCGGCGACGGGUAGCCGGCCUGAGAGGGUGGACGGCAACAUUGGGACUGAGAUACGGCCCAGACUCCUACGGGAGGAAGCAGUGGGGAAUAUUGCACAAUGGGCGGAAGCCUGAUGCAGCGACGCCGCGUGGGGGAUGACGGCCUUCGGGUUGUAAACUCCUUUCGACCGCGAGGAAGCCACCUGGUUGGAAGGGUGGUGACGGUAGUGGUAGAAGAAGCACCGGCUAACUACGUG